GACGAACGCUGGCGGCGUGCUUAACACAUGCAAGUCGAACGGAAAGGCCCUGCUUUCGUGGGGUGCUCGAGUGGCGAACGGGUGAGUAACACGUGAGUAACCUGCCUUUGACUUUGGGAUAACUUCAGGAAACUGGGGCUAAUACCGGAUAGGAGCUCCUGCUGCAUGGUGGGGGUUGGAAAGUUUCGGCGGUUGGGGAUGGACUCGCGGCUUAUCAGCUUGUGGGUGGGGUAGUGGCUUACCAAGGCUUUGACGGGUAGCCGGCCUGAGAGGGUGACCGGCCACAUUGGGACUGAGAUACGGCCCAGACUCCUACGGGAGGCAGCAGUGGGGAAUAUUGCACAAUGGGCGGAAGCCUGAUGCAGCAACGCCGCGUGCGGGAUGACGGCCUUCGGGUUGUAAACCGCUUUCGCCUGUGACGAAGCGUGAGUGACGGUAAUGGGUAAAGAAGCACCGGCUAACUACGUG
Molecule: ribosomal RNA, 468 nt
Filed under: uncultured bacterium
Lineage: Bacteria
Description: partial 16S ribosomal RNA
Rfam family: Bacterial small subunit ribosomal RNA
Source: RNAcentral